GAUGAACGCUGACAGAAUGCUUAACACAUGCAAGUCAACUUGAACUUCGGUUUGGGUGGCGGACGGGUGAGUAACGCGUAAAGAACUUGCCUCACAGAUAGGGACAACAUUUGGAAACGAAUGCUAAUACCUGAUAUUAUGAUUUUAGGGCAUCCUAGAAUUAUGAAAGCUAUAUGCGCUGUGAGAGAGCUUUGCGUCCCAUUAGCUAGUUGGAGAGGUAACGGCUCACCAAGGCGAUGAUGGGUAGCCGGCCUGAGAGGGUGAUCGGCCACAAGGGGACUGAGACACGGCCCUUACUCCUACGGGAGGCAGCAGUGGGGAAUAUUGGACAAUGGACCAAGAGUCUGAUCCAGCAAUUCUGUGUGCACGAUGAAGUUUUUCGGAAUGUAAAGUGCUUUCAGUUGGGAAGAAAAAAAUGACGGUACCAACAGAAGAAGUGACGGCUAAAUACGUGCCAGCAGCCGCGGUAAUACGUAUGUCACGAGCGUUAUCCGGAUUUAUUGGGCGUAAAGCGCGUCUAGGUGGUUAUGUAAGUCUGAUGUGAAAAUGCAGGGCUCAACUCUGUAUUGCGUUGGAAACUGUAUAACUAGAGUACUGGAGAGGUAAGCGGAACUACAAGUGUAGAGGUGAAAUUCGUAGAUAUUUGUAGGAAUGCCGAUGGGGAAGCCAGCUUACUGGACAGAUACUGACGCUAAAGCGCGAAAGCGUGGGUAGCAAACAGG
This 722-nucleotide ribosomal RNA is filed under the name uncultured Fusobacterium sp. RNAcentral's name for it is "bacterial SSU rRNA". It matches the Rfam family "Bacterial small subunit ribosomal RNA", at positions 28 to 776 of the family's 1533-position model. The record is from RNAcentral. Lineage: Bacteria; Fusobacteriati; Fusobacteriota; Fusobacteriia; Fusobacteriales; Fusobacteriaceae.